AGAGUUUGAUCCUGGCUCAGGAUGAACGCUGGCGGUAUGCCUAACACAUGCAAGUCGAACGAUGUCUUCGGACAUAGUGGCGGACGGGUGAGUAACGCGUGAGAAUCUGCCUCUAGGAUGGGGAUAACGGUUGGAAACGACCGCUAACACCCAAUAUGCCGUAAGGUGAAAAAUUUAUUGCCUGGAGAGGAGCUCGCGUCUGAUUAGCUAGUUGGUGGGGUAAGAGCUCACCAAGGCCUCGAUCAGUAGCUGGUCUGAGAGGAUGAGCAGCCACACUGGGACUGAGACACGGCCCAGACUCCUACGGGAGGCAGCAGUGGGGAAUUUUCCGCAAUGGGCGAAAGCCUGACGGAGCAAUACCGCGUGAGGGAGGAAUGCCUUUGGGUUGUAAACCUCUUUUCUCAGGGAAGAAGAUCUGACGGUACCUGAGGAAUAAGUAUCGGCUAACUCCGUGCCAGCAGCCGCGGUAAUACGGAGGAUGCAAGCGUUAUCCGGAAUCAUUGGGCGUAAAGCGUCCGCAGGUGGUUUCCAAAGUCUGCUGUUAAAGACUGGAGCUCAACUCCGGAACGGCGGUGGAAACUUGGAAACUAGAGUUCGGUAGGGGCAGCAGGAAUUCCCAGUGUAGCGGUGAAAUGCGUAGAUAUUGGGAAGAACAUCGGUGGCGAAGGCGUGCUACUGGACCGUAACUGACACUCAGGGACGAAAGCUAGGGGAGCGAA
Molecule: ribosomal RNA, 719 nt
Filed under: uncultured marine microorganism
Description: bacterial SSU rRNA
Rfam family: Bacterial small subunit ribosomal RNA
Source: RNAcentral